ACGGGAACAGCACGGCCGCAAAUCUGACUCGCCGCCUCGCGCGGCUUGGGAUUGCGGAAGUGC
Molecule: non-coding RNA, 63 nt
Filed under: Halobellus rufus
Lineage: Archaea; Methanobacteriati; Methanobacteriota; Halobacteria; Halobacteriales; Haloferacaceae
Description: S15-Halobacteria ribosomal protein leader
Rfam family: S15-Halobacteria ribosomal protein leader
Source: RNAcentral